This 362-nucleotide unclassified non-coding RNA is filed under the name Hevea brasiliensis (rubber tree). Lineage: Eukaryota; Viridiplantae; Streptophyta; Magnoliopsida; Malpighiales; Euphorbiaceae. The record is from RNAcentral.
GAAAUGGAGAGAUGAGGCUUCAAAGAAACUCAAGAACUAUUAAAUGGUGCUCUAAAAUGUUAAUGCAAACCCAGAAUAACACAUAUAUACGUGAAUGGCUCGGCAAGUGUGCCUACCUCUAUGGAUAGUCACAUGCUUUCUCUACUAUUAAAAGGAGAAUAAUAAAACCCUAUUUAUAGAGACUCUAGAGUUGCUCCUUAUAGGAAAACUCAAAAUUAUAAAAUAAGCCCCCAAAUAAUAGAACUGCCUUUGAUUAUUGUACUGCCCCUCCUCGCUGAACUUCCUUUUACCAGGGUCCUUUAGUGAACAAUAUUUUUUUCUUUAACAAAUAUGAGCCACGGAUCCAACAUGCCAAUUUUUUU